Molecule: ribosomal RNA, 344 nt
Filed under: uncultured eukaryote
Lineage: Eukaryota
Description: SSU rRNA
Rfam family: Eukaryotic small subunit ribosomal RNA
Source: RNAcentral
CCAGCAGCCGCGGUAAUUCCAGCUCCAAUAGCGUAUAUUAAAGUUGUUGCAGUUAAAAAGCUCGUAGUUGGAUUUCGAAGUCGGAAGACGGGUCAACGACUUAGUUCGUGUGCACCGAGGAUUCCGGCUUCUAUCACUCGGAGACGGCGUCUGCACUUGAUUGGGUGGGCGACGGAUUCGGGGCUGUUACUGUGAGGAAAUCAGAGUGUUCAAAGCAAGCGGUCGCCUGAAUGCGUUAGCAUGGAAUAACAACAACAACCUUUGGUUGGGUUGUUGGUUGACGAACCAAAGGCAUGGUUAAUAGGGAUAGUUGGGGGCAUUUGUAUUCCGUUGUCAGAGGUGAA